UGAUACCCUAUUAUUAAGAGUAUAAAUUUUAAUUCCUAGUAUUAUAAGCUAUGAUCUUUAAAUUGAAAGAGUUUGACGGUAAUAUUUAAUCAUAUUAGAGGAACCUGUUCUGUAAUUGAUAAUCCACGAUAAAUUUUACCCUUAAUAUUAUUGUUUGUAUACCUCUGUUUGAUGAAUGUUUUAUUAGAAUAUUUUCUUUAAUUUUUAUUGGAAAUUAUAUCAGGUCAAGGUGCAGCUUUUAAGGGUCAGAAAUGGGUUACAUUUAAUUUUUAUUAUUGGAUUAUAACUUGUAUUAGUUAUAUAAAAUUGGAUUUAAUUGUAAUGGAUAAUAUAUUAUC
RNAcentral lists this ribosomal RNA (338 nucleotides) under Dolycoris baccarum (sloe bug). RNAcentral describes it as "partial 12S ribosomal RNA". The record is from RNAcentral. Lineage: Eukaryota; Metazoa; Arthropoda; Insecta; Hemiptera; Pentatomidae.